Molecule: long non-coding RNA, 1218 nt
Organism: Myotis brandtii (Brandt's bat)
Lineage: Eukaryota; Metazoa; Chordata; Mammalia; Chiroptera; Vespertilionidae
Exons: 5
Source: RefSeq, a predicted model, not a curated record
UUAAAAAAAUUUUUAGACUUUAAAAAUUAAGACAUAAACACAAUUAGCCCAGGCCCGUAGGAUCAUCAGUACCACUGCCUUCUACCUCCAUAUCUUGUUCCACUGGAAGGUCUACAGGGGCAAUAACAUACAUGGAGCUCUCAUCUAUGACAACAGUGCCUCCUGAAAACUUCCCGGAGGACCUGCCUUAAGGCUAUUCCUGAAGCUGUUACUCUUCAAAAAUUUGUCCAUUGUGGUUUGCUGGGCUUGUUUUUCUAUUACUGGUUGACUGCAGGUAACUGAAACCAUGGAAAGGGACACUGCAGAUAAGGGGGACUACAGUAAAACAGUCCUCAUGGAAACAAAGUAAAAUCAGAAGUUGGAUUCAAGCUGGAAGCAAAAUGGGUGGAACUGGUCAGUCCACUAGCCAAUACCACCAAGCACGAUAGUCUGAUGCACUGCUGUGCUAGGAAACCACACCGUCAUGAAGACAUCCUGGAGUCUUCCAAUGAGGACAGGGGCAGUGCACCAACAAGGAACGACAUUUCACGGACAAGCUAUAUUGACAUUCAAGAGCAAGGCUCCUGGCUCUGAGUUCAAGAUGGCAGAGCAGGAAGAUCCUCUCACUGACACCAAAACUACAACUAUAUAUAGAACAGCUCUCUGAGAAUGACCUGAAGACUAGCAGAGCAGAUUUUCUACAGCUAUGGAUAUAAAGGAAAAGCCACAUUGAAACAGUGUUAGGAAGGAUUUUUGCUAUUUGAAGAAGUGGAUUAUGAGGGCAGUGACAACAAUGACAGUGAUAACAACUCGGGGGGUUUGCAUUGGAAUCUACCUCAGGAUCCUAGAGAGGAGCUGACUCAGCAGAGUGGAAAAGCAGCAAUGCCUGGCUAUACAUCAAACCUCCAGAUAACCCUCCGGUUCCCCCUAAAGACCUAAGGAAAGAGUGUGCAUGUAUCCAGACCCCCUGACAUUUAAGUGUUGCCAUCGCAGACCAACCCAGAGGCUAAGCAUGCAGGACCCAUUCUUCUCAAAAACGUCCUUUUCAUUAUAAGAACCCUCAGCAUUUCUUUUUUCUUAGGAACACCCUGGGGAUUGCCUAGUUGUGCUUUCACUUUGCAAACCCUAAGACCCUUGGAAAAAAAUCUUCAUCAUUAACUCUUGACCAGCGAGAUUGGGGUGAGGGGUGCCAACCUACCCCACCUCACAGUUGAAAAUCCAGGUAUAAAGUGUCAGCCC